This 254-nucleotide ribosomal RNA is filed under the name uncultured bacterium. Its description in RNAcentral is "partial 16S ribosomal RNA". It matches the Rfam family "Bacterial small subunit ribosomal RNA", at positions 524 to 776 of the family's 1533-position model. The record is from RNAcentral.
UACGGAGGGUGCAAGCGUUGUCCGGAUUUAUUGGGUUUAAAGGGUGCGUAGGCGGCUAAUUAAGUCAGCGGUGAAAUUCCAGAGCUCAACUCUGCGAACUGCCAUUGAUACUGGUUAGCUUGAGUACAGAUGAGGUAGGCGGAAUUGACAGUGUAGCGGUGAAAUGCUUAGAUAUUGUCAAGAACACCUAUUGCGAAGGCAGCUUACUAAACUGUAACUGACGCUGAGGCACGAAAGCGUGGGGAUCAAACAGG